Molecule: ribosomal RNA, 252 nt
Filed under: uncultured bacterium
Lineage: Bacteria
Description: partial 16S ribosomal RNA
Rfam family: Bacterial small subunit ribosomal RNA
Source: RNAcentral
UACGAGGGGGCGAGCGUUGUUCGGAAUUAUUGGGCGUAAAGGGUGCGUAGGCGGUUUGGUAAGUCUUGUGUGAAAUCUACAGGCUCAACUUGUAGUCUGCACGAGAAACUGCCGGGCUUGAGUGUGGGAGAGGUGAGUGGAAUUCCUGGUGUAGCGGUGAAAUGCGUAGAUAUCAGGAGGAACACCUGUGGCGAAAGCGGCUCACUGGACCAUAACUGACGCUGAUGCACGAAAGCUAGGGGAGCAAACGGG